CUUGAUAUCAAGCCAAGGUCAGGUAGACCAAGAAAGAUUUCAGCCACAACUGCCAGAAGAAUUGUUUGGGAUACAAAAAUAAACCCACAGGUAACCUUGGAAGAAAUGCAGGCUAAUCUGGUGUGGUUGUUUCAAGGAGCACAAUACAAUGAUACUUGAACAGAAAUUAGCCGCAUGGUCGAGUUGCCAGAAAGAAGCCUUUCAACACGUUUAAUGCUAUGUGAUUUUUGUUGUUGUUUUAAGUGAUAUGAUGGUUACUAGGUGUGUCUUUCUGUCUGUGUUAAUCUCCCC
This is a non-coding RNA of Pelobates cultripes (western spadefoot toad), 291 nucleotides long. The record is from the annotation of a GenBank genome assembly. Lineage: Eukaryota; Metazoa; Chordata; Amphibia; Anura; Pelobatidae.